Molecule: long non-coding RNA, 338 nt
Filed under: Homo sapiens (human)
Lineage: Eukaryota; Metazoa; Chordata; Mammalia; Primates; Hominidae
Description: HSALNT0362517
Source: RNAcentral
GUCUCCAGGGCAGGGGCCCCCAUUCAGCCUGUUCCCAUUGCCAGUGUGAGAUGCCCAGAUGUGGGGCACCCAGGCCUGGGAUGCCCAGGCAUGGAGUAUCCAGGUGGAGAAACAUGGGGCUAAAUGAUGAUCUUGAAAAGGGCCCUCACUCGUGAGCCUUCGCCAUGUGCCAGUCACUAUGCUGAGCACCUUGCAGGUCUUGCUGUGAUGACUGGAGCUGUGGCAGCCACCUUGUGACCAUGAGGGAAAAGCCAAGAGACUAGUUGAGAAGCCAACUGAGAGUUUUACCGCCAACUGAGAGUUUUACCUCCAUUGAGCUGCUGGAUUUGCCAACUCUA